RNAcentral lists this ribosomal RNA (253 nucleotides) under uncultured bacterium. RNAcentral describes it as "partial 16S ribosomal RNA". It matches the Rfam family "Bacterial small subunit ribosomal RNA", at positions 524 to 776 of the family's 1533-position model. The record is from RNAcentral.
UACGUAGGGUGCGAGCGUUGUCCGGAAUUACUGGGCGUAAAGAGCUCGUAGGUGGUUUGUCGCGUUGUUCGUGAAAACUCACGGCUUAACUGUGAGCGUGCGGGCGAUACUGUGCGACUAGAGUGCAGAAGGGGCAACUGGAAUUCUCGGUGUAGCGGUGAAAUGCGUAGAUAUCGAGAGGAACACCUGCGGCGAAGGCGGGUUGCUGGGCUGACACUGACGCUGAUGCGCGAAAGCCAGGGGAGCGAACGGG